GAUGAACGCUGGCGGCGUGCCUAAUACAUGCAAGUCGAGCGAACAGACGAGGAGCUUGCUCCUCUGACGUUAGCGGCGGACGGGUGAGUAACACGUGGAUAACCUACCUAUAAGACUGGGAUAACUUCGGGAAACCGGAGCUAAUACCGGAUAAUAUAUUGAACCGCAUGGUUCAAUAGUGAAAGACGGUUUUGCUGCCACUUAUAGAUGGAUCCGCGCCGCAUUAGCUAGUUGGUAAGGUAACGGCUUACCAAGGCAACGAUGCGUAGCCGACCUGAGAGGGUGAUCGGCCACACUGGAACUGAGACACGGUCCAGACCCCUACGGGAGGCAGCAGUAGGGAAUCUUCCGCAAUGGGCGAAAGCCUGACGGAGCAACGCCGCGUGAGUGAUGAAGGUCUUCGGAUCGUAAAACUCUGUUAUUAGGGAAGAACAAAUGUGUAAGUAACUAUGCACGUCUUGACGGUACCUAAUCAGAAAGCCACGGCUAACUACGUG
This 497-nucleotide ribosomal RNA is filed under the name uncultured bacterium. RNAcentral describes it as "partial 16S ribosomal RNA". It matches the Rfam family "Bacterial small subunit ribosomal RNA", at positions 28 to 507 of the family's 1533-position model. The record is from RNAcentral.